Helianthus annuus (common sunflower) is the source of this 737-nucleotide long non-coding RNA. RefSeq lists it as uncharacterized. NCBI's taxonomy places the organism in Eukaryota, Viridiplantae, Streptophyta, Magnoliopsida, Asterales, Asteraceae. The transcript has 2 exons. The record is from RefSeq and is a predicted model, not a curated record.
GUUUUAUUUAAUUAAUAGAUCUAUUGUGUUUGGUUUCAAUUGACGAGGUUUUUUCGAUAGUCAUCACUGUUCGAAAUCAAGAAAGGUGUGUGUAUAUGGUCUCUGUUUGAAGUAAGAGAGCGAUUUUGAAUAGGUGAAGAUCCCAGAAUGAUUUUGAAUAGGUGAAGAUCCCAGAAUUAUACAUGGUGUUUAAUGUAACAAUCUCUAUAAAAGCAAAAAUAUCUCACGGACGAUGUGAAUGUUGAAACUGCAGUACACGCUAAUGAAAGUUCCAGUUAUCUUACCAUCUUCAAGAAUCAUUGUGGACUGACCAGUGAUUCAGAGGGAUCUAUUAAGCGACGAUGGACCCGUUCGGCCGUUCAAUCGUUCACAUCUUACACCAAAGAGUUUUAUAAAUUCAAAAUCGACGGUUAAAAAAUUAAAUUGGCUCCUAGUUGUGUCGUUUUUUGAUUUGAUCAAGAUCAAGUUGUCACACAUAAAGAGUUACAAAACUCCAGGUUUGCAUAUUUAUUUGUUUUACUUAUAGUCCAAUUGUUGCAAACAGGGGUUCAAUCCUUCAACCUAAACUCGCCGCCAUCAGCUGAUUCCGUUGCCGGUAGGAGGUGGCGUCGGAAACAACCAUCGUCGUCUCUCUUUCUCUCUCUGUUGUUGUCUUCUUUCUCUCUCUGUUGUUGAUUUCCAUGUUUGUCUGAGUAGAAAUUGUUAUAUAGUAUAAUUACACAUAUGUCCCUGGCUAA